Non-coding RNA from Bradyrhizobium sp. NAS80.1, 171 nucleotides. The record is from Rfam. Lineage: Bacteria; Pseudomonadati; Pseudomonadota; Alphaproteobacteria; Hyphomicrobiales; Nitrobacteraceae.
AUGAGGGCGACCGAAUGUGGGGAGGAAGCGUGGAGCGAAGCUGCGGGCCGAUGAACAAGAACCGGAUAGGAGGCGCUGCGGACCGGGGCGAGCGGACAAAGACCCGCGAAGCUCUCGUGAUCAAAGGGAAGCGGCGUAGAUCCGGCGGUCGUGCAGUGAAGGAGUGCGUUC